AGUGAACGCUGGCGGUAGGCCUAACACAUGCAAGUCGAACGGCAGCACAGGAGAGCUUGCUCUCUGGGUGGCGAGUGGCGGACGGGUGAGGAAUACAUCGGAAUCUACUCUGUCGUGGGGGAUAACGUAGGGAAACUUACGCUAAUACCGCAUACGACCUACGGGUGAAAGCAGGGGAUCUUCGGACCUUGCGCGAUUGAAUGAGCCGAUGUCGGAUUAGCUAGUUGGCGGGGUAAAGGCCCACCAAGGCGACGAUCCGUAGCUGGUCUGAGAGGAUGAUCAGCCACACUGGAACUGAGACACGGUCCAGACUCCUACGGGAGGCAGCAGUGGGGAAUAUUGGACAAUGGGCGCAAGCCUGAUCCAGCCAUACCGCGUGGGUGAAGAAGGCCUUCGGGUUGUAAAGCCCUUUUGUUGGGAAAGAAAUCCAGCUGGCUAAUACCCGGUUGGGAUGACGGUACCCAAAGAAUAAGUACCGGCUAACUUCGUGCUCAGCAGCCGCGGUAAUAGUAAAGGGGCUGGCGUUUA
This 528-nucleotide ribosomal RNA is filed under the name Stenotrophomonas geniculata. Its description in RNAcentral is "bacterial SSU rRNA". It matches the Rfam family "Bacterial small subunit ribosomal RNA", at positions 31 to 542 of the family's 1533-position model. The record is from RNAcentral. Lineage: Bacteria; Pseudomonadati; Pseudomonadota; Gammaproteobacteria; Lysobacterales; Lysobacteraceae.